This 1573-nucleotide long non-coding RNA is filed under the name Lathyrus oleraceus (garden pea). Its description in RNAcentral is "Pisum sativum (pea) long non-coding RNA (PSAT_LNC003823)". The record is from RNAcentral. Lineage: Eukaryota; Viridiplantae; Streptophyta; Magnoliopsida; Fabales; Fabaceae.
UUUGCUUUAUAUUAAAAACAACAUUCAUUUCAUAUGAUAACUUUGCGAGGAAAUACCAUCACAAACAAAUACAACACAUAAACAACAACACAAUAAACUACAACAAAUAAAAUACCAUCACUAACAAAUACAACACAUAAACAACAUAAUUAUGCGAUUACAACAAUAUAAAUAUGCGAUUACAACCAUCAAAACAAUUUUGUAAGGAGUAUACAUCAUCCUGUGAACGUGUCUGUCAGUCUUAAUAUCCACCCAUAAACGAACUUCUCCAUUUUUAUUGAACGUGGUAUCAAGCCAUUGAAUUCUUCUGAUCCUUUCACCAUCUGCAAUGUCUCCAUCUAACCAACGAUUCAAGGUCCUGUUAAGACGUUCAAACGUAUAUACAUUCCAAAGUCGGAUCUUUUUCGGAGGCUGCAUUACUGAAAAGAUUAGAUUGACAUUUCUUUUGUGAAUAUAUGAAUAUACAAACAUUUUAAAGAAAAGAAAAUUGAAGGAAAAUGGAAGGAGGGUAAGAAGUUGUGUGAAAAAUUAUGGGAGAAAUGUUGUGUAUUUAUAGAUGAGUGCACGUGCACGCGCCAUUACUUUGGACGCACGCACACAUGCCAACAUGCAUGCGUCAAUGCUUUUGGCGCACAGUCACAUGGCUACAUGCACACGCCAGGCAUGUGGCACCUUCACAUGCAUGGCCCAAUGCAUGCAUCAAUGACUUGGGUGUCUCCUGUUGAUUGGAUAAUAGAUGCGUCAGUUCAACUGACGCAUAAAUCAUGAAAGAUGGUUAUUUCCGUAAUUAUUUUAAAAAAUAUGUUAUUUAAAAAUUUAAAUUGAAAAAUAUAAUUAUUUAAAAAAUAAAAUCUCAUUGAACAAUAUAAAAAACAUUAAAAAAAUAAUGCAGAAAAAAAAAGAUGAAUAAAAUCUACAUUAUUCAACUUGUCUUCAUACAAGGAUUAAUUAUUUAACUUGUCUUCAUACAAGGAUUAAUAGAUUAUUCAUGCAAAUCAAUCUAACUGAUUUCCACAAAAAUAGUGGCAAUUAUAAUAACUAAAUAAACCAACUAAAACAACCUAAUACAUUGUAUAUAAAGAAUAAUAAAGAUAAAGGAUUAAGGUGUUUCAAACUCUUUGCACCCCCAAUGGGAGAAUUGUUUGGUCCACUUUUCUCCAUCACUGCCCUUUUACCUUCUGAGACCGUUUGUGUAGUGUUGCUGUUGGACCUUAUAAUUUGCAAACUCAACUUUAGUAAAAAUUUAUCUGCACUCCAGCUAUUAUCGUUUUUACCCCUAUAAAAUUAUAAGAAAAAUACUAAAUUCACCUCAUGUCAUUUAAUCAGUAAAAAAUAUUUUAAAAUACGUCAUUUUUAUACUUUGUAAAAAAUAAUUUCUAAAUUAUUAAAUGUCAAAGUUAUUUUUAAUAAUCUUACAGAUACUAAUAUAUUAUAAGAUAAAUUUACGUAAACUUUUUCAAAUAAUUUCAUUGCGAAAAUGUACUAAAAUAUUUAAAAUAUGUGCCAGCUGUUGUAUAUCACACAAACAAACAAGUGCUAAAUCUUAUACUAGUAUUUUAUUGGUAGAUUGUUG